ACGGCUUGAUUUAACCUCUUAGAAGUUUUCAUGCACGUGAUAAGAUCCAAGAGCCGUGAAUAUUAGGGGCAGUAUGGUCAUUUUAUAUUGGUAAUGCCGCGUGUUUUUUCUCGUGUUCGCAGCACACUUUUCAAGUAAAAAACGAGGAGAGCGUGACGGCGAUUGUUGUGGCAAUCGGUGUCUAAUUACUUCUAUCGCUGAUAGAAGCAAUGGUACAGAUGAUGUCUUCCAGACGCAAAGUGAAGCUGGAGGAGUUUCUCGAUUCAUGCGACCCUUCUUCCGUUCCUAAACGGUCCAAGUUCCUGGCGCUCACUUCUCUGCAGUGUGGUGUGGAAGGAGGAGGAUUGGGUCCUUUGGGUUUCAUUCGGAUGAGACUUUCUCAGCGAAAUUCCUCAAACUGAUAAGCUCAACUUCCUCAAGCUCUCUUCUUUCCCAAGGCCAAAACACUACUGAAAAUCCGUGUCGUGUGAGUGCAGUACAAGUUGAGAUACGAGGAGGACCUGGUGGGCAAAUGUUAUUUCGCAAAACACAAGCUUGUGUGGGAAACGCUUGAUGGUGGUCUCGAGAGAACAAGAUUGAGAUACAGUGGUCAGAUGUCGUUGCCAUCAAAGCCAAUUACUCUCAUGAUGGACCCGACACCCUGGAUGUUGUGGUACUUCACUUCUGCCGAUGAUGGUGAAUUUUCUUUGCAGUUGGCAAGGCCGCCCCUUUUCUCCAGGGAGACAAAUCCUCAGCCAAGGAAACAUACUUUGUGGAAGGCCACUUCUGGUUUCACUGGUGGUCAAGCCAGCUUGAAUAAGUGCCAUGUCCUGCAGUGUCCACCGGGUCUCUUAGGCAGGCAUUUGGAAAAGCUUAUUCAAUGUGAUCCGCAGCUACACUUUCUCAGCCAACAGCCAGAGAUCUUUCUAGAGUCCCCAUAUAUCUUGAAUCCAGAUCUUCAUUAUAUGAUGAUACUAAUGAAUCAGCCAGUAUCCCGACACUGGAGAUUGGUCUUCCAUCCACGGCUCCUGCUACUCAAACACCUUCCUCAGUAGAUGACUGCAAGUUUUCCAAUGGAGUUCCAGAGGAUGUUUGCCUAGCAAUUCCUUCAACUAGCUCAGUGAUAGAUACACGCACAAUUGAGAACUUUCGGGGCAGCAGGAGGAAGGGAUGGGGGCAAGAUGACUGCACGACGACGGGGAUCCAUCCGUCAGCAUCUGUAAGUGAUCUGUUGAGUCGCAUUGGACACUGCAUAUCCCAAGCAAUGGCAUCUGGAAAUCCCAUGUUUUCGGAGGACAACCUGCAAAACAAAGUCACCACGAGGGAGAUUGCCCAGUGCCUGCUGAAUGAUACAAUGCUUGUAUCUACCUCAGAUGAACAGAUAAUGUCAAUAGUGAAUUCUCUUUGUUUCUUGCUGCAAAAGGGCAGUUCCUUGAAUGCAGGGGAAAGCAAGGGGUUUGGCAUUUGAUUGGCAAAUCCGAAAGAAGAUGAGCAGUUGGGUACAAUCCCUAGGAACGAGUCCCCGAGUGAUAUUCUUCCGAGGAUCGCGUCUCUGCCUCAGUUUUUGUACGCCAUCUCUGAAAAUUAUUGAGAACCAAGCAUAAACACUAUACAGGACAUGCAGAGGAGUAAUGUUAAAGAAUCCCUUGUCUGCUUUGUCAUGUAAUUGUUACUCCGUAGCUGUUCUUGUGUAAUGCUAGUUGUUCUGCAGACAACAUAAUAUGAGCAGAAUUACUGGUGGUGUUCUGUUAAGGUUCAGAAUCUGAAA
Tarenaya hassleriana is the source of this 1747-nucleotide long non-coding RNA. RefSeq lists it as uncharacterized. NCBI's taxonomy places the organism in Eukaryota, Viridiplantae, Streptophyta, Magnoliopsida, Brassicales, Cleomaceae. The transcript is spliced from 4 exons. The record is from RefSeq and is a predicted model, not a curated record.